AGAGUUUGAUCCUGGCUCAGAACGAACGCUGGCGGCAGGCCUAACACAUGCAAGUCGAGCGCGCUUUCGGGUGAGCGGCGGACGGGUUAGUAACGCGUGGGAACGUGCCCUUCUCUACGGAAUAGCCUCUGGAAACGGAGAGUAAUACCGUAUACGCCCUUUGGGGGAAAGAUUUAUCGGAGAAGGAUCGGCCCGCGUUAGAUUAGGUAGUUGGUGGGGUAAUGGCCUACCAAGCCUACGAUCUAUAGCUGGUUUUAGAGGAUGAUCAGCAACACUGGGACUGAGACACGGCCCAGACUCCUACGGGAGGCAGCAGUGGGGAAUCUUAGACAAUGGGGGCAACCCUGAUCUAGCCAUGCCGCGUGAGUGAUGAAGGCCUUAGGGUCGUAAAGCUCUUUCGCCUGUGAUGAUAAUGACAGUAGCAAGUAAAGAAACCCCGGCUAACUCCGUGCCAGCAGCCGCGGUAAUACGGAGGGGGUUAGCGUUGUUCGGAAUUACUGGGCGUAAAGCGCGCGUAGGCGGAUUAGAAAGUUGGGGGUGAAAUCCCGGGGCUCAACCUCGGAACUGCCUCCAAAACUGCUAGUCUAGAGUUCGAGAGAGGUGAGUGGAAUUCCGAGUGUAGAGGUGAAAUUCGUAGAUAUUCGGAGGAACACCAGUGGCGAAGGCGGCUCACUGGCUCGAUACUGACGCUGAGGUGCGAAAGUGUGGGGAGCAAACAGGAUUAGAUACCCUGGUAGUCCACACCGUAAACGAUGAAUGCCAGUCGUCGGGUAGUAUACUAUUCGGUGACACACCUAACGGAUUAAGCAUUCCGCCUGGGGAGUACGGUCGCAAGAUUAAAACUCAAAGGAAUUGACGG
RNAcentral lists this ribosomal RNA (859 nucleotides) under uncultured marine bacterium. RNAcentral describes it as "bacterial SSU rRNA". It matches the Rfam family "Bacterial small subunit ribosomal RNA", at positions 8 to 916 of the family's 1533-position model. The record is from RNAcentral.